RNAcentral lists this non-coding RNA (28 nucleotides) under Bombyx mori (domestic silkworm). The record is from RNAcentral. Lineage: Eukaryota; Metazoa; Arthropoda; Insecta; Lepidoptera; Bombycidae.
CAGGAAUUCAAUGGUGUGUAGACAAAAA